GACGAACGCUGGCGGCGUGCUUAACACAUGCAAGUCGAACGGAAAGGCCCUGCUUUUGUGGGGUGCUCGAGUGGCGAACGGGUGAGUAACACGUGAGUAACCUUCCCUUGACUUUGGGAUAACUUCAGGAAACUGGUGCUAAUACCGGAUAGGAGCUCCUGCUGCAUGGUGGGGUUUGGAAAGUUUCGGCGGUUGGGGAUGGACUCGCGGCUUAUCAGCUUGUUGGUGGGGUAGUGGCUUACCAAGGCUUUGACGGGUAGCCGGCCUGAGAGGGUGACCGGCGACAUAGGGACUGAGAUACGGCAGAGACUCCUACGGGAGGCAGCAGUGGGGAAUAUUGAACAAUGGGCGGAAGCCUGAUGCAGAAACGCCGCGUGCGGGAUGACGGCCUUAGGGUUGUAAACCGCUUUCGCCUGUGACGAAGCGUGAGUGACGGUAAUGGGUAAAGAAGCACCGGCUAACUACGUG
RNAcentral lists this ribosomal RNA (468 nucleotides) under uncultured bacterium. RNAcentral describes it as "partial 16S ribosomal RNA". It matches the Rfam family "Bacterial small subunit ribosomal RNA", at positions 28 to 507 of the family's 1533-position model. The record is from RNAcentral.